UCUAAAAUGACAGACAGAUGUAUAGGACUUAAGCUCCUAGUAGGAAGGACAUACUUCUUUUAGAA
Molecule: transfer RNA, 65 nt
Filed under: Laomedia healyi
Lineage: Eukaryota; Metazoa; Arthropoda; Malacostraca; Decapoda; Laomediidae
Description: tRNA-Leu
Source: RNAcentral